GUUGGCGGCCCGCGGCUACAGUUUCCGCCGCGCCAUCUACGGGGAGGGGAAAGGGUCAAGAAACAUUCGUGCGUGCCGGCCAAUGAGAGCAAUGAAGCCGUUUCCAUGGUACCUGAGGGCACGCAAGGAGGGGGGAUGACCGAGAGAGAGGGUCACAAGAGGAGAAGGCCAAUGCCCCAGCGCAGGCAGCACAUCAACGACCAUUAAAAAGGAGAGAGGAGGCUGCGGAGUGAAGAGCAAGGAGCCCUCAGGUCCACGCACCGGGGGCAGGAAUCGGGGGGGCGCGGCGCUUUCCCAGGCAGAGUCAGCUUCCUUAUUUUAUUACCCGCAGCCACACGCGGGGUGGGGUGGGGCAAUAUGGGGGCUCCCAGCACCUCCCUGCCUCGCUCUCUCCCCUUCACCCCACAGGCUCCAUCCUGCAGCCAUGAUGCUAUUUCCUGCCCCCCCAGCUCCAUCCAGCCCCAGGGGGACGAGAAACACCAGCCAAGAGCUGCGCCUCGAGAGUGAGGGGCACCCGCAGAGAUGUGGGGGGAGGGGGGUUGUAGGCCAGGAGUGAGGGGCACCAGGUCAGCUUGCCACCCCCCUCCCCAUCCCAGGGCACACGCAUGCAGCCCAGUCCCAGUGCUCGCGGGAAGGCGUGUUCAUUGCAGCGCGAACCCCCCGGCCGAAGCAGAGCUAUCCCACCUCUGCCACCACCCUGCCCCCUCGCUCAGCCCCCAGGUCUGGGUCAGAAAAAGAGCGUGGCCCUGGCCCUGGCGGUGCCUGGCUGGACCCCCCCCUUUCCCCAGCCCUAACAAUUGCCAUAUUUACUCACAUAGAAGAUGAACCCGACCCUACCUUGACAACUACAAUAUUUACUCAAAUAUAAAAUGAGCCUAAAUGUAA
Alligator mississippiensis (American alligator) is the source of this 885-nucleotide long non-coding RNA. RefSeq lists it as uncharacterized. Lineage: Eukaryota; Metazoa; Chordata; Crocodylia; Alligatoridae. The transcript is spliced from 2 exons. The record is from RefSeq and is a predicted model, not a curated record.